AACGAACGUUGGCGGCGUGGAUUAGGCAUGCAAGUCGAGCGAAUCCCCGCAAGGGGGGAAGCGGCGAAAGGGGCAGUAAGGCAUGGGUAACCUACCCUGGGGACUGGGAUAGCCCUUCGAGAGAAGGGGUAAUACCGGGCGAUGUGCCGGGCCGGCAUCGGUCAGUCACCAAAUGAGUUUCGCCCUGGGAGGGGCCCAUGUGAUAUUAGCUAGUUGGUGAGGUAACGGCUCACCAAGGCGAAGAUGUCUAGCGGGUGUGAGAGCACGACCCGCGCCACUGGCACUGAGACACUGGCCAGACACCGACGGGUGGCUGCAGUCGAGGAUCUUCGGCAAUGGGCGCAAGCCUGACCGAGCGACGCCGCGUGUGCGAUGAAGGCCUUCGGGUUGUAAAGCACUGUCGAGAGGGAGAAAAGCGAAAGCUUGAUCUAUCUCUGGAGGAAGCACGGGCUAAGUUCGUGCCAGCCGCCGCGGUAA
RNAcentral lists this ribosomal RNA (477 nucleotides) under uncultured bacterium. RNAcentral describes it as "partial 16S ribosomal RNA". It matches the Rfam family "Bacterial small subunit ribosomal RNA", at positions 28 to 523 of the family's 1533-position model. The record is from RNAcentral.